GAGCAGGCAGGGUCCUACUGGCAUCUAGUGGGUAGAGGCCAGCUUGCUAAACAUCCUAUAGUCACAGGUUGCCCCCCUAGUAGAGAAUUACGAGGCUCAAACGUCAAUAGCGCUGAGGUUGAGACACCCAGCUGUAAGAGAAUGAAGCCUUUGGGAGGUAAGAAGCUGAGAGUGGAAGGUGAUGUGACCAUGGUUGCAUUUUGAAAAUUUCCUCUGGCAGCAGUCUGGAAAGUGGAACGGUCUACUGCUACUAAUAGCAACAGCAGCAGCUGCUGCCUCUUUAUUGAGUACCUUCUGUGAUGCGCUAGACACUAUGCCAAGCCCUUUAUGAGCAUCCUCUCACUGUAUCCCACAGAAGCCCCAUUUUAUAGAUGAAUGUAGUGAGUGCCGGAGAGGGCAACUCAUUCACCUGAGAUCGCCCAGCUGGAAAGUGGAAGCCUAUGAUGGUUCUUUAGCCAGGCAGCUGCUUCCUCCUGGAAGAGCAGGGACAGGCUUCCAGCUGGUCCAGCUGCAGCUCAGAGACCCUCAUUCCAUCCUUCCUGUGGACUAAGGGGCUGAUUCCUGUUGAGCAUCAUGUCUCCCAGCCACAAACUGUUUGGACAGCGUACUUCUCUCCCACAAAUGACACGAGAAUGACAUGCCUAAUCACGCCUGCCGCAUGGAAUUAUUCUGGAGAGUAAACAGGGGGAGGACAAGCCCCAGCACCUGCCACAUGCUGGGAGGUCCCUGGAUGGCAGCCCUGCGGGAAGAGCUUCUCUGGGGGGAGGUCAGCCCCUGAGGACCAGGGAUCACCUCACAAGGACAGCCAGUCUGAGAGUAAAGCCAACAGAGAAGAAAGUAGAACCCAGAAAAGUCGCGACGUGUCCUGAAAAGGUCAUGUGAGUCUCUAGAUCCACCCGUGCCUGAAGCUUGUGCACCCUUGGACUUUUCACAUACACAAACCAAUAAAUUCCAGUUUUUGCUUAAGCUGCUUUCAACUGAGGUUUCUGACACUUGCAACCAAGGCGUUUCAACAGCUAAUCCUCAGAUAUCUGUUGCACGCCUGAUCAGGCUCAGUCCAUACCAGUCACUUGGGAUCCUUAAAGUGACGUAGGCUACAGGUCC
This 1104-nucleotide long non-coding RNA is filed under the name Equus caballus (horse). RNAcentral describes it as "lncRNA (ENSECAG00000055191.1)". Lineage: Eukaryota; Metazoa; Chordata; Mammalia; Perissodactyla; Equidae. The record is from RNAcentral.